Molecule: non-coding RNA, 7619 nt
Organism: Macaca mulatta (Rhesus monkey)
Lineage: Eukaryota; Metazoa; Chordata; Mammalia; Primates; Cercopithecidae
Source: RefSeq, a predicted model, not a curated record
GGUGGGGCAAGGGGGUCAGGUCACGUCUUGACAUCCAGCAGCGGCAUCCGCUUGUGCUGGUAGCCACUCUGCCAGCCAUGUACCACCUGUCGGGCAAGAGACCACACCACAAGGUUGGGCUGUGUUCUCUGGGAGUCUGCAGCACUCAGUUACAGCCCAAGUAAGCAGAACCAGGCUCUGGUUUCAGUGUGGACGAGUAUGGCUGGGAACAGGGCUAACCCCCACCUUGCCUCAUUCUCCCCCUGGCGCCCAAGUGCUCACCUUGGGGUCUCCCAUGUCAGAGAGCAGCUCCUGCUCAGCCUCAUGCAGUUCCUCGGCUGGGUCAUAGCUGUACAUGGGGAGCAGGUGAUGGCGCAGUCGGUCCACCCUGGGGAGCAGGGGAGGGGACUCAGCCUAGGAGGCCCCCCAACCCUCAUCAAACACCUGGCUGCCCCAUCUCGCCUCCCUCUCCCAGGCAGGGGCACUUCCAGUGGGUGCCUUUUGGGACACACUAUAGUUCCAAGAAUACAACCCUGAUUCUACAAAGGGACUUUCCCCAGUGAGUAACCUCAGGCUGGGGCAAGGAAAACAAAAUUCAGGCUUGUAUCAGGAUGGCUUCUUACAGAAAACUCAGAGCCUAUGAGCAGGAAUUUCAGAAUGGGUGUGGGGAUAGGGCAGGUGGGGAGACAGGGACACUCACCGCUUUUUCUUCUGUACAUACAUCACCUGCAACAGAGACACAGCACUGUGGGGGCUGCUGAGCCCGGGGAAGGCCCACAAGCAGAGAGAGGCCCACCUCUACACCCUUCACUCCCUCAACAGGACAGUGGGGACUCUGUGCAGACUGGACCAGGCCCACCCAGCCCCUGCCUUAGCAAAGCUGUGGGUGUCUGUGUGUAUAUGAGGGCUCCUUACCACAGCCACCACCACCCCGACCAGGGUGAUGAGGAAGAAGGGCCCCAACACAUAGCCCACCAUGGAGUCGCUGUUGGCCUGGGGGGCAUUGGGCACAGUGGUGUUACUCAUGACAUCAGCAGCCGGAGGGCUGGGUGGUUGGUCAGCAUGGGCAGUGGCACUUCGGGAGGGCGCCUCCACUGGGCUCCCUGGGGAGGAGGAAGGGAGGUUAUCAGUUGCACCCAGGUGACAUCCAGACUCUGGAUCCCUCCCCCAGAGCUGGAGAUCUAUGAAAACUGGUCCCAGGUCAAAUCCUGGGAGGAGGGAUCCUCCAGGUAGAUGUACCGGGUAUAACCCUCCAGUGAGUCUUGGCAAAUCCUGGCAGGAAAGGGGAUCAAGGGAAGGCCUGGAUCCAGGGCUGAGUCCUGCCCAACUCCUAUCCCUAUAUCAGGGCGGGGCCCAGCUAGAGACAUUUACAAGUCUCAACUUCUGGGGAAAGAAGUGCAGGUUUCCAGUGCCUGCCCCAGCCCUUUUGGGGCAUUGGGCUGCCAGUACCUGUCCAGUGGAGCAAAAUGGAUAAAUGAGGUCUAAAGGAGGGACCUGCACUGCAGCCAGGGGUGAGGUGGGAGCAUCUGAAGGAGUUCCGCUUCCAUUCUGGUCCAAUCCCACUUAAAGCGAUGGGCUCCAUGCCUGAGUUCUAUGCCCUUGUCCCUGGUGUCACCUCAGACAUACAGCCCGAACACCCUCUGCCCCAUCGGUUUCGUGUGCCAGGGUGGACACGAGUGGGUAAAGCUGGAUUGUAUCUUCAAGAUGAUGUCACCUUCCUCUUGUCUCCACCCAGGGCUCCGCCCAGGUCCCUCCCCUCCUGGCCUGGGCUGACAGGCAGAGGUGGAGAGGGUCAGUCCCCAUCGACAGAAGCAAAGAGAUCGUCCUGGGGCGGUUUGCACGCUGAUGGCCCAAGGUCCGCGACCCAGGUUCGCUUGAGUCUCUAUCAGAGGGCAAGCCCGUGUUUUCCCACUUUCCUGCCUUCGCUCGAGCGGUUUUCCCACCAUCUCAGCCAGUAAGAAGCCUGUUGGUCUCCUGUGGGAGGCUGGACCUGGGGCCAGGUCGGCCUUGGGCUCCCACCCCACUCUGAGCUCAAACUGUUCCUUCCAUUUUGGGACCAGGGGACAGAGCUCACUUAAUGCUGCUCUCCCACUGAAGACACUCACCCAUUCUCUGCCUGCAAGCCCUACCACUACACAACUUCAAAAAUGGCUCCACCCUUCCUGAUUCCACCCCACACAGAGGAAGGCAACUUCUUGCGACGCUUCCUUAUUCUGAAAGUGGCUCACCUCUUUCCCCUUCCAGCUCCUUUGUGCCCCCUAGAAAGCCUCCCUGGCUAAGGGGGACAGGCCCUCUCCUCAGCACUGGGCACUGACCGUCUAACCAGGGCUCUCUCUGGGCACCUGGUUGCAAGGAUGGCAAGAUACAACAACAUGCUGAUUUUAAUAGCCUCUGGCUUCUCCACUGCAUUUCUCACCUGAAUGCCCUGCACACCAAAUCUUCCAUGGGAUCACCCUUGACCUCUAGGGCAAUUCCCAAGAAUCCAGCAGAGGAGUGGGGGAAACCAAAAGACUGACAUGAAGGACUCAAGGGAAACCUCUGGAAAGAAGACACCAGACACUAAAAGGGAUAUGUGUGAAAUACUGGUUUUUAUUGGUUGGCACAAGAUUACAAUCUACAGUUUCAAUGCCCUUCCCUCCCACACAGCUCAAAUGGAAGGAAACUGAUUAACACAUAGAAAGGAAUGGCAGGCUCACAGGUUUAAGCAUUUGUUUUUACAAAAAGGAGUGGGAUAUGGGGGUGGUCAAGUUUUACGGGUAGUAACAACAUUCUCUCCAGAUGGCAGGGGGUAAGUCUGCCUGUCCUCCGUUGCUGAUACCACAUAAGGGACAUAUUAGUAAAGUAGGGAAAGGGUUAUAUGUGUGGCUGGCCUGUUCUUAAGAGAGGAAGGUGGGAUAGUAUCUGCUGUGUGCCUGUCUCAGACCAAACCUGGGGCUGAACCAGUGCCCCUUUCUUCUGGGCCCUCCUCCACAACCUGACUGUACUGCCAGCCGCACCCAUGGGAAGGAGGUGUGAAGGAAGCCUGAGAACAUCUGCCUCGAGAAAAGGAAACAGGAAAACUAUUUCCUUCCGCCUUCUCUGGACCAAAUUCCACUCCCCUCAGCUCCAGAGAACGCUGCAAAAAUCUUCCUUAGGAACGCUGUGAAGACACGGGGAAGAGGCCAGCCCAGACAGGUGGUCCUGAGCGGGCAAGAAGAAAAGCUUGAACUUUCCAUGCAGUACCAAGCAAGAUUGUUUUGGAAACACGCAAACAAAAAAUGGAAACCAACACCAUAUACCCACAGGUUGGGUAGCUCCCAAAUCCUGGACAGCAUUUGGAUUGGAGGUAAGGACAAUUUUACUCCAGCUCCUUGUUUUAUAACCCACACCAGGUGCCAAGAGGUUUAAGGACCAAAACUGACCUCUCUUUCCCUACAAGCACCAUUCCUUGGAUUCCCAGUUUUGUUGAGCUCAUUUGGGGUCAUCCUUGCCAUCCUCUUCAAAAAUGACGCAGCCUCUUGGUGGUUCCAUUUUCUAUCCCUUUCUACAAUUAUGAACACACUGUCUAAACAGGAGAUCUAUAUAUGCUGUCAUCCUGCAGCCCAAGAGAUUAGGUGAUCGAAUGAUGAGAAGGCCAACUUACUUGCUUUCCUGGGUGGUCCUGAGGGAAAUGAACAGCAGCAGAGUUCUGGUGGGACAGAGCAGUCUAGUCUGAGCCACUGUGUGAUUCCCCAGGGGACUGGUCCCUGGGUACAUGGGUCCCUGGCUCUGUCUCAGUUCCAGAGACAUUACUCAACUUGGCCUUUUAAGCCUCAGCUAAAACAUAUGAGCAUGAGGGAAAAGGGACAAGAAAUACUUUUGUCCUCUGGAAAAACGUAAACUCAAUACAUUUUGGCUACUUAGGCUCAAGUCACAGGGUUCCCUGGAAACACUUGUUGAACCUGGCCAAGAGGAGACUGUAUAUGGAUGGCACACCUGGAAAAGGGGAGAAAGCACACUAGUUCAUCUCUUUUAUAAGUGGAAUGGUCCCAGGGAUGUUAACCUUUCUGAUGCUGAUGGUAGAUGAGUGGAGUGGAGGUAAUCCUGUGAGAAAACUCCUUAAAAACCCUUAAGCUGUGUGGAGACUACACAUCACAGCUGAGCAAACCAAGGUGGGGCCUCACUGCCACCUCAGAGCCCAUCCCUGACCACAUCAUUGGACAGGAUGGAAGACAAAGUCUUUGAAAUGGAGGCUGGGCUGGCAAAAGUAAGUAUGAAGAUGCUACUACUGUCCUUCCACUUCCUCUCUCUGAUACACCUAAGAAGGUGAGAGACACUUACUUCAAUUCCAUUUUACAACAGUUCUCAACAUCCUGAAAUACUCUUGAUUUCCUUAAUUAAGCACAGGGAAAACUGGUAAGCUAUCUUUCUAACUGAAAUUUUACUUAUUCUAACCACCAACCUUUUCUUUGAUUAUCAACCAGUUUGAUAGUCUUCAGAUCAUAAAACAAUAGAACAGACCUGACAUUUACAAAACUGUACUAUUUACUUCUUUUACAGUAGAGUUGACCAAUCACUUUUCUAACUAUUAAUGCAACACCAUGCCACUGGGCCCUAGACUCUGAUGUUUCUGAUCCCUGAGCAACACAUCUAUGUCCAUUCACAGAUGGAAGUGAAAGGGUGAGAUUCUCAGAGUCUAAACAAAAUUCUGGUAGCAAAUUGGAUUUCUGAAGGGAGAGUCCUCUUAGAAAAUUCUGAGCAAAAAUGCUCUCAGUCACCAGGGACGGGGUGAGCGGGCAGGUUUCAGUCUGUGAGCUAUAUAGCUUAGGUACCUGUUACUCCCUUCUGAACUCCAUGUUCUUGGGAGGACACAAGCCUCUUGUUCAUUAAGCAAAGGCCCUCCAAGUCUCCUUUUUACUUCAGCACUUUGGAAACUCUCCAAGACUUAACUUCAGAUCUGGGGAGGUUCUAUGUAGAACAGACCUAUCCCUUCUUAUUCCUGCUCCUGGGUGUCUCCAUAAUCAGCCUCUACCUUCCCUGGCAUAAGUCGUAUCUGUUAUGCUGCAGGAACUGAGCAACCAAAGCUAGAUAUCCUUUGGACCACUGAUUAGUGACACAUUUUCUCCACAACAAAGGGAGGUUAAAGACCAAGGUUUAACCUGAGAAACUUUUUUUUUUGGCAAGACAAUAAAGAGGUUAAAGAGGCUAUGUGGAUCUGUCACUGCUUUAGCUUACCAUUUUCAAUUUAGCACCAAAGUGCUCAGGAAGACAGGCUCAGAUCAGGACAACUUCUUAAAAGGGAUUCACAGGCAAUCUUACUGGCAAAAUGAUUUUCCAAAGCUGAGCCACUUGCCCCACCCUACAGGGAGGGGAGUAGUCUUAAGGCCCAGCAUUGGCAUUGAGGCAUCUUGCUUUUUUCCCUCAGAAUUCCACAAAGGCUUAAGAGUGAUCUAAAUGCCUGGCUGGAAGCUCAAGUCUAGGAGAGCUAAUUUACUGCACUGUUGAGAUAUUCUCUGCAAGGUAGUCACAGAUAAUAAGCAAUUUAGUAGAUAAUUAAUCCAGACAAGAAUUAAUGUUCUCUGAAUCAGUGAUUAAUAUAAUCUUCACAUCUGGCCUGGCUGGGAGGCUUGGGGGCAGGAAAGGGAGGGUGGAAGAAUGGGUAGCACAUCAAAAUGGUGAACAAAAUGACAAUGCUGCUGUUUGUGUAUCCUUUAAAGCCUCUAUCCAGGGUUUUAAAUGGCGUUUUGUCUGCUUCCUGAUAGGAAGUCAAAUAAGUUUUAGUAGUAAGAACUGGGGAUAAAAACGAAAGGAAACCUAGAGUUAUUAAACAACUGACUGCUGGAGGAACAGAAGCAAUGACUUCUACCUUCUAGGUAGUAAUCUUACUUUUUUUUUUUUUUUUUUGAGACGGAGUCUCGCUCUGUCGCCCAGGGUGGAGUGCAGUGGCGCGAUCUCGGCUCAUUGCAAGCUCCGCCUCCCGGGUUCACGCCAUUCUCCUGCCUCAGCCUCCCGAGUAGCUGGGACUACAGGCGCCCACAACCGCGCCCGGCUAAUUUUUUGUAUUUUUAGUAGAGACGGGGUUUCACCGUGGUCUCGAUCUCCUGACCUUGUGAUCCGCCCGCCUCGGCCUCCCAAAGUGCUGGGAUUACAGGCGUGAGCCACCGCGCCCGGCCCCGUAAUCUUACUUUUUUGGCUAAAAGCACUUUCUUCAGCAUUCUGAGUUAACAUGGGUUCCCUAUAAGCUCCCCUCCCCAGGUGGACAGUCUUAUUUUCUAAGACAAGCUCAAACUCACCAAAUUAUCACCGUAAACAAAGCUUCAGGGAAGAGACAUAACUCUUACUUCAAAAGCUUCAGGUCAGAGACAGCCAAAAUCACAUGACUGCUAGCCUCAGCUCAAGUAGUGUGCCCAAAUCAUCACAAAAUGGGAUUCUCUUCCUAUUAAUUUUUUUUUUUUUUUUUUUGAGACAGAGUCUUGCUCUGUCGCCUAGGCUGGAGUGCAGUGGCGGGAUCUCGGCUCACUGCAACAUCUGCCUCCCAGGUUCAAGCGAUUCUCCUGCCUCAGCCUCCCGAGUAGCUGGGACUAUAGGAGUGUGUCACCACGCCUGGCUAAUUUUGCUAUUUUUAGUAGAGACGGGGUUUCACCAUACUGGUCAGGCUGGUCUUGAACUCCUGACCUCGUGAUCCACCCGCCUUGGCCUCCCAAAGUGCUGGGAUUACAGGCGUGAACCACCGUGCCUGGUCCUCCAUUUAUUAAUUUAUAAGGGGACUAGGAGGACAAACUAUUUGAUUAAUUUGAAGGUGAGAGGUAUCAUUUUCUCAGAUGCUCCAACUAGGCUUCUCACAUCCCUCAAAGGUUAUCAGCUAAAGACAAGAGUUUCUGAGGCUAAUGCAAAAACAUGGUCAAAUGUGAAACCACCCUUUUAGAGGCAGGGUUUGUGAAAGGCUGCUGGCCUCCAAAGGACAGCAUGCCUAAACUCUCUGGGCUCCCAGGACCUGUGGUGAUCUCAAGUCAACCUGAUGCACAGAUAACAGUAUCUUUUAGGGAUUGCAGCCAAUGCUCCCCAAUUCACUUUUUUUUGUUUUAAUACCUUAAAAUAUCAAGUGUUUCCUUUUUAGGUGAUAUUCCAAGUGACACAGAAACACAGCUCUCCUGGAUGGUGAAGUCUCCGCUGCAAAACUCACCAAACAGCACAGAGGAUGACUCUGGGGUCCUCUCCCACUUGCUCCAAGUUAGGUGGGUGCCCUGAUGAAGGCAAGGCUGAGUCACUAACAUGCACAGCUCCACAUCCUGGAAGCCUCUGCAGCCUCGAGGAGACAGGCUCUAUCCAACAGGACUCCGAAUAAAUGCCUGCCGCCUCAACUGGGCAGUCUGACCUCUUCCACCGUCUUUAAGAAACAGAAGGGCCAUCUGCAUUAUUUAAUCACCGUUCAAUAAUGUCCUCCCUCCCCAUAGCUGCUUGAGUUAACUGUCUCACAAGUGUCCUAUGUUUUGUAAAGAUGAGGGUUAUUUUCUGAAAUGCAGAUGAGACUAGGAUAAAGCUGUAUUAUCAAUUACAGCCAACUCUCAUUUCUCUUAAAGCAAAAAUUCAUCCCACUGUGAUUUCUCCAGGUAUUUCCUUUAAUUCUAAAUCCACCCUUGAUAUUAGAGAAUAUUAAAAUCACACAGUUGUGGCAAAAAUCA